GUAAUCAAUGCCCCGGUGAUGGCUGAGCGUCCGGAAGAAGGUGAUGGCUGAGCGUCCGGAAGAAGCCGAAGCAGUUUUCGAGGAAAUGAUCUUCUCGGGGUAAGCCCUAAUAUCUCCUCCUAUAACAUUCUCAUUGAGAUGCGUUCUUGUUAUGCGAGUCGAUUCGAUUGGACCUAUGAGGUCGUUCACAGUGGGAGCAUGUGGUGUUUUGGAUUGGAUGCUGGAGGAGAAAUGCCCGCCCACCGUCCACACCUACACGCCCAUCGUGCAAGGUUAUUGCCUUGAAGGAAGGAUGGAAGAGGCUAAAAGUUUGAUGGCCACUAUGGAGAGUGUCGGUUGCUCUCCUAAUUCGGUGACCUAUAAUAUAUUGAUGGAUGCCUCUUGUCAUGUCGGGAGCUUUUAUAGAGGUUGAGUAUAUCUAUGUCCUUUGUACUACAAGGCUAAGGAACCAUUCCAGAAACUGGAAGUUAUUCUGGGGAAUGGAUUGUGGCCCACAGGAGUCACUUUAAAUAUCCUUCUUGAUUGCCUUCAGCAUGAUUCAACAUUUUGGUAGGCCAAAUGGCUAUUGGAGAGGAGUCCUAGAAUGGAAUAUGGUGUUGGUGUUUUUGGUUGCAGCACAGUGAUGAGCAGGUUAUGUGAGAUUGGGAGAUGGUCAUCCGUUCUUGAGCUCUUGACUGACAUUUUUAAAAAAGCUAUCGCCCCAACAUGAAGACAUUUAAUAUUGCGUUUCGUAGUCUUCGCAUAGGUGGAAAAUUUCGCAAUGCAAAAUAUCUUAUUAGCAGCAGAGGAUUCGUUGCAUGUGGUUGACAUAUAACUCAAUAAUUCAUUGGUCAUAUCUUUUUUUGUAACAUGGAUGUUCAGAAGAUUGCACCAGAUACAAUCACUUAUACUAUUAUGAUUAACAGCCUUUGUGAGGAAGAAAAUUUUUGGAGGUUACUGAUGGUUUUUUCAGAUCGCUAACAAUGUGGAUGUUCUACAGAUCUUGUUGUCUGUCUAAUUUAUGGGCUGAUUGGGAGUAGAACGUUCAGAGAAAUGCUAGACUUAUAUAAAGGAUUGGAGAAGCAGGGUUUUUUUUUCCAGAUAUCCAUAUAUAUGAUACAACAAUCAGGGUAUUUUCCUGGGAGGGUCUUUGUCAAAGCACAGAUAUUUAUAAAGUCUGUCAUAUUCUGGACAAAAUGUUCCGAAGGAGUUAAACUCUUCCUGGAUGUUGGAUUUGUUUGAUCCAACAUUUCUUUUCAUUGGAGAACAUGAUAAUUUUCUUUUUCUAUGGUAUCAGGUGUCACUUCGAUGUGUUUUUCUGGUUUCUGGUCCUCGAGACUUUCCUUCGAUGUGGACUCUCCUUACUUGCAUCCUUGGACACAUGGUAGUUUAUCUUGGGUUCAUCUAGGAAUUCGAGUGGGAAUUGAAAAGCAAAAUGGCAAAAUCUCGUCUAUGCACCACCUUCUCUUGAGAGCAUCCUUGGUGUUGAUCCCUAGUCCAUGGUAGGGCUUUAUCGUGGGACACUUCAGUACAUAAGGAGAAGGGCAAGGAGGUGGCUGACGUCCACUAGGACCCUUCAUCUGCCAUGCAUGAAGGUGUAUAUAGUUUGGCUCUACUAACUUGGAUGCCUUUGGCACCAAGAGUUCAAGUGGUUGUAUCUUGGUUUUGGUGUUCGUGUCUAAUGAUGCACCCAUCAACUUGGGAUCUGCUAGUAUUCCUUGCCUUGGUCGUGUGGCCAUGAAGCCAAGGUCAUUGGAAGAUUGCACAUAAUGCUCUCAUCAACAAGAUUAAGGCUGCUAUUGGGGCGUCUUGGUCCCAUGUGUUGUAUUCUCCACUUGGUUUACCAUCAAGGUUUAUUGAGGUUGCAACUCUAGACGAGUCCAAGGACUAUGGUCCUAGGCCGGGUUUGCCCUUUGGGGCACCUACUAACCCUUCUCUUCCCUCCCCUAACUGCCAAAUCUCCUUGGACCAUCUACUGCCUGGCAAUGUCAUCGUUGCAUGAUUUUCACAUGAGUUUUGUAGCGUGUGGUGUCUCUGGCUAGACCUAUGAUGUAUGAGGAUCUCAGUUUUUUUGACUGCUACCCAACCGAGGAUGGCAUAGGUUGUGUUUGGAUUUAGGAAAGGAGAAGCAUUCUUCAUGGCUUGAAGAUGGGGUUUGGAUGACCUCUUGGGAUGGCUGGAUGACUGGCCGAAUGAUUGCUCGGGAUGGUCUGAUGACUACUUGAGACUGAUAGAGAAUCGCCAUGAAGGGAAGACAGGAGUGGAGGAUUAGAAUGAACUAGUACUAUUUAGAAAAGUUAAAGGGCUUUAUAAAAGGCUUAAGAAGGAGAUGUAUAUUUUCAUCAUUUAGGACAAUGCACUAAUGGUGUUCAGUAGUGGAAUGGCUGCAGGAUUUCAUCAGGUCAAUAUGCUAACUUAAAGGAUCCAAUUAAAAAAUUUUAAACCUGAGGGGUAGGUGUGCAGCAGUCGAGGAGGUUAAAAUGUAAUUUUCCAAAAAAGAAUAAUUUUUUUUUUGGCACAAAACACAGUUGGAUUUGACAUCAAGAUGACAAGCAGUUGCAAAGUUCAUCUCAGGCCUUUCAUAUAUCCUUCCUUAAGGUUGUUUCCAUUGCCAAAGCCAUAUCAGUUGGAUAAGGCUUUCUUGGUGUUUGGAUGAACAAAACAUGUCUAUUCUUUGUAUACAAUUGCAUGGUUCAUAAGUCUGUCCUACUGUGACAUGAUAUAUGUGCCUGGCUUUCAGGUCCAUGGAUAGUCUUGAGAGUUAACAGCGGAAGGAAGCCUUGGUAUCAGUACUAAUAUAUUUUGCAAUGCUGACAUUCAAGAUGCCUGGUUAUUUUUGUUUCUCCUGGGCAAUGUAAAUUCCUUCAAAGAUUGUUAUUGUUGUUGCAGUUGCAGAGUCUCAUUACCUGCUAUACAUAGUUUUUCAUUAUAUCUAUGAUAUAAUAAAACAUAUGUCGGUUUGAUAUUUUCCUUUGUUAUCUAUAUUUAUAUAGAGAUCUUUGUGAUAUAUUGGCAGGUAAGUGCAGAGUGAAGCAACCCUGCCAGCAGCAUGGAAAUUGUAUGUUUAAUUAUGCGAUAGUGGAUGGAGAUGCAGGGCCAGUUUCCAGAGUUAUUGCAAAGGGAUUUGAGGUGAUAAAAAAUCACUCCUUUUGUUUCAUAUGGUUUAUUUUUGUAAUUCGUUUACCGGAGUUUAAUAUAGUCUUUUUUUUGGUAAUAGAGUUCAAUAUAGUUUUUUGUAAUUGAUUUCGGUUUGAAAAGGAAAAAGUAAAAUUCAGUUUCACGGAAGCCAUGGACUGACCUGACUUUGUUUCCAUAAUGGAAGUUCAGAGCAUGCUCUUUUUGAAGCAGUUAUCAAAUCAUGUUUACUUGAUUAGGACCAGAUGUGUUCUCGAACCAUUACAUGUAAGAAAGAUCUCAAUGUGCAGUUAGUAUUGUCUCGUAGAGACUAUGUAACUCUUAUUUUUAAAAUUUCUCCCAGUUGUUUUCUCAUUUUAUUGUACAAUUAUGUCCUAGAACUAGAGCGUUGGUUGUAAUUAUUUGUUUUUCAUUUUUGCAACAUAAGGUAUGCUAAUUAGGGAAGUGGACCAACCAUACAAAUGCCCGGACUACAAACUCUUAUAGCAUCCUUGCAGUGUUGAAUAUGAUGAACUGAACAAAUUCAACAUUUUAACUGUGAACUAGUGUCUGAUACUUAACCAUGUUCUAUGUUAUACUGAGUAGAUGAUAUUAUGAUUAACAGAUCAAGGCAUUGAACAAUGAUAAUUGUGGUCUCUUUCUUUCUUCUUAGUACAACACAGAGUUCCAAGUGACUCAGGCAUCUUGACCUCAUCCAAAGUGAACAUUGUGUAUAGGAUGGUCUUUGUGUAAAUGGAUUGCUCUCAUUGGAUAUCUUACCAUUAUUGCUGGAGACAUAUUUGAGGUUAAAGUCUCAGCUUCUGAUCGAACUUGAUUUGCUUCAGUCUCAACUGUAUAAAUCAUGUUAAGCCAAUUCAUGUAACUUAUAAAAUGAUAGAUGCUUUAUGAUAUUUCUGUAUCCACUAUACGUCUGCAUCCACUUGAUGAGAUGAUUUGCUUCCUUAAAAUCAUCACAAAACUGCUGUACUUUGUUUGUAACCCCCAGUCGGUUAUCAAAAGUUUUGCAAACAGAAGGUUCAUAAUCUUUUGAUCUUACAUAGAACAACUAAAUUUGUUCGCUGUCAUUGUUGCAUCUAAGAGAUCCUAUGCGAUGCUGUAGAUCAUAUGAUUUUUUGAAAAAGCUUCCCUGGUAUAAGAUUUCAAACUGGAAAAGUCAAAGUUCAUGAUAGAUAGCAUUGAAGGCAUAUGUGACUUAUUACUGUUCAGCUGCAAACAUGGAUAUUAACUCCUCAGUCCUUAACUUGCAGGAGGGUAGAAGGUAAUAAGAUGAGGUGACGCCUUGCAGGUUUUCAAGCUCGAGGGUUCAUCAUAGGCAAAACUGUAUGCAUGAGGGCAUAUGAACUGGAAGAUGUGGGAGUAGCGAUGGCUUGCAACUCCUUGGGGAAAUAUGGUCCCUGGUGCAGCAGUACUUGUUUGUCUUCAGAGCCAGGCAUGCACUCUUACGCCUAACUUCCUUCCUUUGCUGCUUCUCCUCAAACUUUAUAGGGCAGCAGACGUUGAAGUCCAUCUCACAUCCUGCCACGCCGAAUCCAAUUCCUCCCCAUAUUGGUUUCAUUGCAAUUCACGUCAUCGUAGUGAAGGGGUGAUCUGGAAGUCCCAAAGGUCAUCUACUGGGGCUGUCGGUGUUUCACCCAUCCUCCUGUGUCACAGGAGCCCUUGCCUUGAGGCAGCGGCCUUUGUGGCCCAUAUCCUCCCAGACCAUCCGGCAGGCACAUGAAAGAAUGUCUCCGCAAAGGUUGGACGUCCGGCAUUUCCCAGUGGCCCAGGCCACACGCUAUGGUUGCAAUUGUUCACCAGUACGAGUUGGAUCUCACCUGCAACAAAGCGCAGAAGGAUGAAUUAAAAUUCUCGUCAGUGAAGUAAGAAUAUAAGGAUUCUUCAGUGUAAAUUUAGUCUUACAUGAUAGUGUGUUGGGCAAGCGGACAUGGGAAGAAAUUAUGGAAAUUAUGUGUUGUUCUCUCCCUUCUCCUGGGUAUCUGAUGCUGGCUUAGUGGUGUGUGUUGGGUGUUUUGGGUGACGUGAUGUUUGGAAGAGCAGAGAGUUGGGUAGCGGCUUCCCUGACUUCGUUGCCAUGAAAUGUGCCACAACCACUUGGAGGAAUGAUAAGUAAUCCAGAGCAACGUGGUUCUAGGAUGUAGC
This 5253-nucleotide long non-coding RNA is filed under the name Phoenix dactylifera (date palm). Its description in RNAcentral is "long non-coding RNA (PDAC_LNC003756)". Lineage: Eukaryota; Viridiplantae; Streptophyta; Magnoliopsida; Arecales; Arecaceae. The record is from RNAcentral.